GACGAACGCUGGCGGCGUGCUUAACACAUGCAAGUCGAACGAGAGCGUAGAGAAAGCUUGCUUUUUCUACAAUCUAGUAGCAAACGGGUGAGUAACGCGUAAACAACCUGCCCUACGGAUGGGGACAACAGCUGGAAACGGCUGCUAAUACCGAAUACGUUCCGAAAGUCGCAUGACUAUCGGAAGAAAGGAUGGCCUCUAUUUAUAAGCUAUCGCCGGAGGAGGGGUUUGCGUCUGAUUAGCUAGUUGGAGGGGUAACGGCCCACCAAGGCGACGAUCAGUAGCCGGUCUGAGAGGAUGAACGGCCACAUUGGAACUGAGACACGGUCCAGACUCCUACGGGAGGCAGCAGUGGGGAAUCUUCCGCAAUGGGCGAAAGCCUGACGGAGCAACGCCGCGUGAGUGAAGACGGCCUUCGGGUUGUAAAGCUCUGUUAUACGGGACGAAUAAUCUUGUGGUUAAUACCCAUGAGAAGUGACGGUACCGUAAGAGAAAGCCACGGCUAACUACGUG
This 513-nucleotide ribosomal RNA is filed under the name uncultured bacterium. RNAcentral describes it as "partial 16S ribosomal RNA". It matches the Rfam family "Bacterial small subunit ribosomal RNA", at positions 28 to 507 of the family's 1533-position model. The record is from RNAcentral.